This 68-nucleotide ribosomal RNA is filed under the name Ensis directus. RNAcentral describes it as "partial 5.8S ribosomal RNA". It matches the Rfam family "5.8S ribosomal RNA", at positions 90 to 154 of the family's 154-position model. Rfam says of the family: 5.8S ribosomal RNA (5.8S rRNA) is a component of the large subunit of the eukaryotic ribosome. It is transcribed by RNA polymerase I as part of the 45S precursor that also contains 18S and 28S rRNA. The record is from RNAcentral. RNAcentral also lists the same sequence under 1 other name. Lineage: Eukaryota; Metazoa; Mollusca; Bivalvia; Adapedonta; Pharidae.
CAUCGAUAUCUUGAACGCACAUUGCGGUCCCGGGUCACUCCCGGGACCACGCCUGUCUGAGGGUCGGC